Molecule: ribosomal RNA, 495 nt
Filed under: uncultured bacterium
Lineage: Bacteria
Description: partial 16S ribosomal RNA
Rfam family: Bacterial small subunit ribosomal RNA
Source: RNAcentral
GAUGAACGCUGGCGGCGUGCCUAAUACAUGCAAGUAGAACGCUGAAGGAGGAGCUUGCUCUUCUGGAUGAGUUGCGAACGGGUGAGUAACGCGUAGGUAACCUGCCUGGUAGCGGGGGAUAACUAUUGGAAACGAUAGCUAAUACCGCAUGACAACAGUUAUUGCAUGAUAACUGUUUAAAAGGGGCAACUGCUCCACUACCAGAUGGACCUGCGUUGUAUUAGCUAGUUGGUGAGGUAACGGCUCACCAAGGCGACGAUACAUAGCCGACCUGAGAGGGUGAUCGGCCACACUGGGACUGAGACACGGCCCAGACUCCUACGGGAGGCAGCAGUAGGGAAUCUUCGGCAAUGGGCGGAAGUCUGACCGAGCAACGCCGCGUGAGUGAAGAAGGGUUUCGAAUCGUAAAGCUCUGUUGUAAGAGAAGAACGAGUGUGAGAGUGGAAAGUUCACACUGUGACGGUAGCUUACCAGAAAGGGACGGCUAACUACGUG